This 398-nucleotide unclassified non-coding RNA is filed under the name fungal sp. Its description in RNAcentral is "partial internal transcribed spacer region". The stretch from base 1 to 46 matches the Rfam family "Eukaryotic small subunit ribosomal RNA", at positions 1786 to 1831 of the family's 1831-position model. The record is from RNAcentral. Lineage: Eukaryota; Fungi.
AAGUCGUAACAAGGUAACCGUAGGUGAACCUGCGGAAGGAUCAUUAACACGUAUCCACGUAUCAACCAAUGCGAACUCGUUUUCAACUCUCCCUUGACCCGACAUGAAUUGAUACUAGGCAGUGAUCAAAAGAGGAGUCCCUCGGGGCCCAUCACUGACUAGCAACUGACUCGCGCAAGCGAAUCGACAAUUGUAGUCGGGUUGAGACUAACCUUCUGACGCAAGCAUAGCCACUCUUUGGGCCAGCUUCGUUGGAUCCUCCAUAACUUAUCUCACCCCCUUUUUGCUAGUUGACUUUACAUAUGUUAAUAGAAUGCGUAUGCUUGCGUACGAACUAUUACACGUUUAUUUAUUUGAACGUUAUGAAACAACUCUUAGCAAUGGAUAUCUUGGUUCUC